This 82-nucleotide ribosomal RNA is filed under the name Fragilariopsis kerguelensis. Its description in RNAcentral is "partial Eukaryotic large subunit ribosomal RNA". Lineage: Eukaryota; Bacillariophyta; Bacillariophyceae; Bacillariales; Bacillariaceae. The record is from RNAcentral.
UAGUUGGAAAAGUGACCCAGUUGGGUUAACCCCCGUCCUAUGUCGUAAAAGAAUUUUGCUGACGUAGAAUAAGUUGGAGUGG